GCCCAGGUAGCUCAGUUGGUAAAACAUCAGGCUUUUACUCUGAAGGGCCAGGGUUCAAGUCCUUGUCUGGGUG
This is a non-coding RNA of Gopherus flavomarginatus (Mexican gopher tortoise), 73 nucleotides long. NCBI's taxonomy places the organism in Eukaryota, Metazoa, Chordata, Testudines, Testudinidae. The record is from the annotation of a RefSeq genome assembly.